UAGAAAAGAAUACGUGGCAGUUUAUUUCUCGUUGGCCUCAGUCAUCAGUGGCGACCCCUUGAAGUGGCAGUCAACGCGCAGUGGUGUACUUCAAGAUGACAAUGUUAACCCAGGAGUUGCGGAACGAGUUGAAACCAUUAUCACCUUAUCUUAGCGGGCGCAUUAUCAGCGCGGAAGGCGACACCCUGCGCGAAACCGUGCGCUUAUAGUUUACGGCGACCGCCAGCAAAUGUUCUGCACGCCACGUAAAAUGCACCACAGUCGCGAAGCGAUGUUCAAAAGCGCGGUCAACCAAGAGACGUUGGUCAUGAUGCCGGAAACCAGAGAGGAACGCGAUGGCCGUGUUCCAGCCACUUCGCCUGCCGCAUUCCUUGAUACAGUCUCCAAUGAAACUGGAACUCUGCCGCCCUUCCACGAUUCGCCACAAUCAGUCGUGCUGCUCGACACCACGACCGGCAGUUCAACUCUUCCAAAGGUGUCCGACGCAGACAUCGCUUUCGAAUACAUUGACGAGUUGUUGGCGGAAGAGUUGCGUGAUCGAAUUCGGUCCUUCCGGAGAGCAUCUGCUGCCAAGGAGGAGAGGUUGGGUGACUACUACAGGAUCCGGCGCAUACACAAGAUCCUGGCCAUGCGACCCUAAGAAAAGACAGUGACUGGAGUCUGAAAUCACAGACGUGUUUAUUGACAAGGCCUCCGGCAAGCGAACAACAGCUUCUGUCGCCACAAGAAAUUUUCGCUUUGCCUAAUCGACCUGACCAGGGGACUUAUUUUAUUAUGACUUUAAUGAGACACACUCCUGUAUAUACGCACGCAAUUCCGCCGAAAUUGGGCUGAAAUUGGGUAAUUCAUUGUUCGCGUUUUCAAAGAUCGCGUUCUGUCUGUUAAGUGCCUGGCAAAUUUUCCCUCUUUCUGAAUAUUUGUUGCAGACAGAACGGGCGGUACUUUACCAUAGUCGUUACAUUGAUGCGCUUGGUGUGCACUGCGCGUGGCUCAUCUGAAUUGUCGCGCGAUUCAUGGGUCAUUCUUGCAUGCCAAAUAGUUUUAACGAAGCCUUCAUCCUUGUCAACCAAAGGUUUGUUCCAUGCCGGCAUUACCACAUUGUUGUGACAAGCACUGUCUCCUGUGUGCAGCCAUUCAACCUUCGCUAAAGUUCUCUUGUGCUUGUCCGCGCGCGUUCCGUGACAUGCGCCUCUGUUUUUUUUGCGCAAUAUCUUGUCCCUUCGUUGAAUGUGUGGAAAUGCCAGCUCGUGUGUUCCAGGUCAUAUACAGGUUGUCCCGCAUAACUUGAGCCAAAGUUUUAAAAAUUAAAGGCACUCCGGAUGCGAGUUGAACCGAAUGCAUAAUGUUGGCACUGGCUUAGAGUUACUCGGGCAAUUUUUUUUAUUCUCCCCUUAACUAAUGGAUUAGUUCAGUUUAUUAAUCAACUAUUUAAGUAUUGGCUGCAGACCCCAAGUGUGACACGCAAACUUGUAGAGCACCUUGAGAAACACCUCAAUAAAUUGUUUCCAACACGA
Dermacentor albipictus is the source of this 1514-nucleotide long non-coding RNA. RefSeq lists it as uncharacterized. The record is from RefSeq and is a predicted model, not a curated record. NCBI's taxonomy places the organism in Eukaryota, Metazoa, Arthropoda, Arachnida, Ixodida, Ixodidae.